RNAcentral lists this ribosomal RNA (253 nucleotides) under uncultured bacterium. Its description in RNAcentral is "partial 16S ribosomal RNA". It matches the Rfam family "Bacterial small subunit ribosomal RNA", at positions 524 to 776 of the family's 1533-position model. The record is from RNAcentral.
UACGUAGGGUGCAAGCGUUGUCCGGAAUUAUUGGGCGUAAAGAGCUCGUAGGCGGUUUGUCGCGUCUGCUGUGAAAACUCAGGGCUUAACCCUGAGCCUGCAGUGGGUACGGGCAGACUAGAGUGUGGUAGGGGAGAUCGGAAUUCCUGGUGUAGCGGUGGAAUGCGCAGAUAUCAGGAGGAACACCGGUGGCGAAGGCGGAUCUCUGGGCCAUAACUGACGCUGAGGCACGAAAGCGUGGGUAGCAAACAGG